Molecule: ribosomal RNA, 253 nt
Filed under: uncultured bacterium
Lineage: Bacteria
Description: partial 16S ribosomal RNA
Rfam family: Bacterial small subunit ribosomal RNA
Source: RNAcentral
UACGUAGGGGGCUAGCGUUGCUCGGAAUCACUGGGCGUAAAGGGUGCGUAGGCGGGUUUUUAAGUCAGGGGUGAAAUCCUGGAGCUCAACUCCAGAACUGCCUUUGAUACUGAAGAUCUUGAGUCCGGGAGAGGUGAGUGGAACUGCGAGUGUAGAGGUGAAAUUCGUAGAUAUUCGCAAGAACACCAGUGGCGAAGGCGGCUCACUGGCCUGGUACUGACGCUGAGGCACGAAAGCGUGGGGAGCAAACAGG